GAAAUGCGAUACUUGGUGUGAAUUGCAGAAUCCCGUGAACCAUCGAGUCUUUGAACGCAAGUUGCGCCCGAAGUCUUUUAGACCGAGGGCACGUCUGCCUGGGCGUCACACACAGCGUCGCCCCCCACCAACCCGUUGGCUGGGGGACGGAAACUGGCCCCCCGAGCCCCCACGGGCACGGUCGGCACAAAUGUCGGUCCUCGGCGGCGAGCGUCGCGGUCAGCGGUGGUUGUAUUCUCACCCCCCAAAGACAGAAACGACGCGCACGCCUCGCCGCACGCAGGCGUAACGAACCCAGAGAAGCUCUCCCCGGAGACUUCAACCUGCGACCCCAGGUCAGGCGGGAUUACCCGCUGAGUUUAA
This 363-nucleotide unclassified non-coding RNA is filed under the name uncultured fungus. Its description in RNAcentral is "sequence contains ITS1". The stretch from base 1 to 108 matches the Rfam family "5.8S ribosomal RNA", at positions 50 to 154 of the family's 154-position model. Lineage: Eukaryota; Fungi. The record is from RNAcentral.